RNAcentral lists this long non-coding RNA (6226 nucleotides) under Homo sapiens (human). RNAcentral describes it as "non-protein coding lnc-PPAT-1:1". The record is from RNAcentral. Lineage: Eukaryota; Metazoa; Chordata; Mammalia; Primates; Hominidae.
CGGAACAGGAUCUCCGAGGCAGCCAAGAGGAGGAGGAAGUCGAUGAUUGCUAAGCGUCGCCGAGUUGGGAGUGUCUUCAGCCCUAAGGCAGCAUCAGAGAUCAUAAUCUUCUGCUCUCGUGGCAAGAAAUUUGUGCGGAUAGAGUUGAUACACCUCACUUGAAGUUGGCCUGGAGAAAAGAGGCGUCGGACUCCUGGACGGGGUUGGGAAACGGUCACCAGUUUCGGCUCAAAGCAGCCUGUUUCCAGGAGACCGCCAUGGUCGAGGCAGCGUCCUGGUCCCACGGUGCGGGGCCGGACGAUCAUUUAUGGGAUAUAAAUAAAAGGACUAUGAGGUGGUAAAUAAAAGACUACCAACUAGAAGCCAUAGGGAGUCAUUUGAAGGAGAAAUAGGCACGGCUCAUCUGUGGUUGAGGGAAAGGGAUCUUGAAAGAUGAUUAGGAGAACUUGGGUUCUGGGGAAAGUGCGGGAAGACAUUCUGGCAGAGAAGCAAACGUGAGGAAAGGUAAGAAGGCAAGAAUCUCCCAUUACAAAGGGUUUGGUGAAACCCUUUGCCUGUCCUUUUCGCUCCCUUCGGGAGCAGUCGGCAAUAAGCUGGAAGGGUAAUGGGGUGAAAAUGCCCGUGGUCAGUUCCCUGGCUCUGCGACUCACUAGAUGUCUGACAAUAAACAAGUUACUUAGCUUCUGGGAGUCUGUUUUCCCGAUUGUGAAAUGGGGAUACUAUAUUUGUUCUAGAGAUAUAAAAUAUUAGGGUUUGCUUGCGACCGUUAAUAUCAAGAUGUGUUCAGAUGUACGAAGGGAAUGGAUAUCUGUUGGGUACACUUGAUGUGAGUGAUUUUUUUUUUUUUUUGAGACGGGGAUCUUGCCGUGUUGCCCAAGCUGGUCUGGAACUCCUGGGCUCAAGCAAUCCUCCCACCACAGCCUCCCCAAGUGCUGGGAUUACAGGCAUGAGCCACCACACCAAGACGAUGUGAGUGAUUCACUUGAUGUGAAUGUUGUAUUUCAUUGAAUGGCCUGCUCUUCAGACUCAUAUCUCGUCAUGACCUUUACAACUUCUACUACUUCCUGUGUCCCUCAGGAACCUAGCUUUUUUUUUUUUUUUUUUUUUUUUUUUUUGAGACGUAGUCUAGCUCUGUGACCCAGGAUGAACCUCACUGCAAUCUCCACCUCCUGGGUUAAAGCGAUUCUUUUGCCUCAGCCUCCCAAGUAGCAUGAGCCACCACGCCCGGUUAAUUUUUGAAUUUUUAGUAGAGAUGGGGUUUCACUGUGUUGGCCAAGCUGGUCUCAAACUCCUGACCUCAAGUGAUCCGCCCUCUCUCAGCCUCCCAAAGUACAGGGAUUACAGGCGUAAGCCACCGUGCCCGGCCUUGCUAACUACUUUUUGUCUUUCAGUCUUUCUGGUUAUACGUUGAAAGUUACUUUGAGGAAACAUUUGAUCUUGCAGACUGGGCAGCCUUCUGGUUGCAUCCUCUUAGAACAGGGGUCCCCAACCCUUGUACUGGUCUGCAGCCUGUUAGGAACCGGGCGGCACAGCAGUAGGUGAUCGGUGGGCCAGUGAGCAGUACCGCCUGAGCUCCUGUCAGAUCAGCUGUGAUAUUAGCUUCUCACAGCUCAAACCCUAUUGUGAACUGGGAAUGUGAAGGAUCUAGGUUGCUCACUCCUUAAGAGAAUCUAAUGGGAAAUGUAAUGAGCUUGAAUCAUACUGAAACCAGCUGUCCAACUCCUGUGGAAAGAUUGUCUUCCCUGAAACCGGUCCCUGGUGCCAAAAAGGUUGGGAGACUCCCUAUAGGACUCCACUUCUGAGCACUGAUAAUUAAGGGUUAUCUCACUCUGUAUGGACUAUAGUUCUGAGGCCAAGGAACCAUAUUUACCUUGCUCACUGCAGUAUCCCUAGGAUCUAGCAUACUGCCUGGCACAUAGUUGGCAUUUUUUGUUUCACAUUCCUUGCCUAAUCUUGAGUUCCUUGAGGGCAGAAACUGCCCAGCUCCUGAUAUGGCAUAUGGUGCCCUGCCAUAUUUUUGUCUGGUCCUUCCAGUAUAUACAAUGCAAAGAGCAUGAAAGGUGGCUUGAACUCUAGGUGCUGGAGGGUGUAAUUCUUGUGAAUUAGUAAAAAUCAUGAGAAGAGCUUUAGACUUUUACUGACUAGAAUUGUCACAGGUUUCAAGCCAGUUAUGUUUAGAUUUCAGGGGGUGGGGGCUCCAGAUGACAUGGUAUACCCAAAAUGUUGUGUGAGAAAAUUGGGUAUACCCAAAAUUUUGUUGUAUUUUGUUAUUCUGAGAAAAUGUAGAUUCCACUGUAUUCUCCAAAGGUGUUUAUAUCCACCAUCCCCUCCCAAAAGUUAAGAGCCACUGUCCUAGUAGUACUUUUUAGAACAUUGACUUUAUAUAAGAAUUGGCAAUUUUCGUUUCUAUAUCAUUCUAAUCCUAUAUACUUUGUAGCUUUUAGAAAUGCUCAGAAUUCUGCUGCUGUGGACUUGUUUCUAUUUCUUAUGUCAUUUUAAUGGAGUUUUGUGGCAAACAGCCUAUAAAUAUGGGGCUUAACCUGCCAUUUUUGAAACAGGAAUCUUCCAAACCAUAGUGGUGUUUUGUUUUUUUUUUUUUAAAUAACAAAUUUACAUCUCACAUUGUGAAGGAUGGAAAGAUUGUCUGGUGAGGGGCCACUCUGAUUCAUAGAUGGCAUCUUCUGUUUUCACAUGGUGGGAAAAAAACCAGACUGAUCUCUUAAAGCAUGUAUCUGAUGCCACUUUCCUACCCUCACGAUAAAAUCCGAACUCCAAAGAAGAGCAGUAAGAGCUUUUGUGAUCUGGCCUCUGCUUGCCACCUCCCCAACUCACAUAGGUCUCUAUACUUAUUUCCUAGCCCCCUUGCAUGCUAUUCACCUCUAACUUCCAUGUAGUUAUGUGUCCCCCUACCUCCUGGAAUUUGCAUUUUUAUUCAUCUGACAAGUGUUUGUCUUGUAUAUGCCAGUGCCGUGUAUUACACCAGUUGCUGUGAUACAGCUGACAACAAAGAAGACAGCCCAGUGUAAUACAUUUAUUUUCUAGUUGGGAGAGAUGGGUAAUAAAUAAACAUGUACUAUGUUUGGUGGUAAUAAGUUUGCUGAAGAAAAUUAUGGAAAGGUAAGAGAGAUUGAGUAUAGACUGUGGAGAAUUAGUCUUUUUCAUUCACAGUAUACAAUUGUUUUCUAGAGAUCAGAGUCCUUCCUACUUUUGUGUAUUCACAAUACCCUAUUGUUAAUUCCAUAUUAAGACUAUAUACGGUGUUUUGAAAUUGUCUGCCUCUGGAGACUUCCAAGAUUCAUUGAGAGCAGAAGGUUAAUUUUGUUCAUCUUUGCAUUCCCAGGGUCUUAUAUAUACAUAAUAGGCUGUAUUUGUUCUCUAAAAAAUACAGAACCAAUAGGAUAUGUACAGAUUAUGAGAAAUUGGCUCUGCAAAAUGGAGGUGAAGUCCCACAGUCUGCCUUCUGCAGGCUGAAGGCCCAGGAAAGCCAGUGUAGUUCCAAACCCGAGGGCUUGAGAAUCAGGGGAGGCAAUAACGUUAAGUCCUAGUCUGAAGGCCUGAGGACCAGGAGCACCAACAUCUGGGGGCACGAAAUGGAUGUCCCAGCAGUUCACCCUUCUUCCCCUUUUUUGUUCUAUUCAGGCCCUCAAUGGAUUAGAUGACGCUCACCCACAUGGGUGAAGGCAGUCUUCUUUACUCAAGUCUACUGAUUCAAGUGCUAGUCUCUUCCAGAAACACCAUCACAGAUGUACCUAGAAAUGUUGUUUGACCAGCUAUCAAGGCAUCCCGUAGCCUAGUCAAGUUGACAGAAUUAGCCAUCUCAUCAGUAUCCACAAUGUAUUUUUAUAUUAAUGGAUUUAGCCUGAGAAGCUUCCAUGUACAGUAUCUUUUUUUUUUUUUUUUUGGCGACAGAUUUUCGCUCUUGUUGCCCAGGCUGGAGUGCAAUGGUUCGAUCUCAGCUCACCACAACCUCUGCCUUCCAGGUUCAAGCGAUUCUCCUGCCUCAGCCUCCCGAGUAGUUGGAAUUAUAGGCAUGCACCACCAUGCCUGGCUAAUUUUGUAUUUUUAGUAAAGAGGGGGUUUCUCCAUGUCAGUCAGGCUGGUCUUGAACUCCCGACCUCAGGUGAUCUGCCCACCUCACCCUCCCAAAGUGCUGGGAUUACAGGCGUGAGCCACUGCACCCAGCCUCAUGUACAGUAUCUUAUGGUAUCUUGUCAACUCAGAGGCAAGCAGAAGAAAUAAGACGUGAGCCACCGCGCCCAGCCUCAUGUACAGUAUCUUAUGGUAUCUUAUCAACUCAGAGGCAAGCAGAAGAAAUAUUUAGCUCCAUUUUAUAACUUGAUUUCCAUUCCACUAUUUUCAUUGUACUGCAAUGUGAGAUUAACAAUUCCACCCCAAGUAUUUGAGGUGUGGGAAGCUGGAUGUAAAAACACCAUUAAAAACAACUCUUUUCAAUGGCUUUCUAAGGUUGGCUGGGCUGAAAUGGCAGGUUGUGGAUGCUCCGUGGCACAUCACACUGCCCCUUUCUUCAUAUUAGAAAUUAAAUCAGCCGAUGGCAAUAUUGAAUUCCAGGUAAUUUUCUUUCUUUCUUUUUUUUUGAAACAGAGUUUUGCUCUUGUUGCCCAGGCUGGAGUACAAUGGCGCAACCUCGGCUCACCACAACCUCCGCUUCCCAGGUUCAAGCGAUUCUCCUGCCUCAGCCUCCUGAGUCGCUGGGAUUACAGGAAUGUGCCACCAUGCCCGGCUAGUUUUGUAUUUUUAUUAGAGACUGGGUUUCUCCAUGUUGGUCAGGCUGGUCUCGAACUCCUGAUCUCAGGUGAUCCACCUGCCUCGGCCACCCAAAGUGCUGGGAUUACAGGCAUGAGCUACCAUGCCCAGAGAAUUCCAGGUAAUUCUCAUGGUGAAUGAAUUCCAUUCAUACUGUUGUUCUUCAGUCUGCCAAAUGGAUAUUACAUAACACAUUUGUGUGCCAUGAUGGGCCUUACAUAUAUUGACUCAUGUAAUUCUCACAACUUUAUGAGGUGGUAUUAGUCGCAUUUUCAUUUCAUGAAAUUGAGGCACAAAAAAAUUAGACAUGUUGAAGAUCAUACAUCAUCCCUCACCUGGGCUACAAUAGCCUCUUAACUAAUCUCUGCUUCUCCUCUUGUCCACACAACAGCCAGAGAACCUUUAAAUAUGUUAAGUAUGUCAAGCCUCUGCUCAAACUGAGUUUUUCCUGUCACACUUCAGUGUGGCCUAUAGGCCCUAAGUGAUGUAGCCUUUGCUUAUAUUGUCUUCCACUCUCAUCCUUGUUCACAGAGCUCUAGCAAUUCUCAUGUUUGGAGGUCCUCAAGGCAAAACUCAGCUUUAUUUCCCAUUCCCUUAGUAUGGAAAGCUAUUUCCCUAUCUGUGUGUCUUGCUUUUACAUCAUUGCUCUGCUCUCCUCAAAAACCUUCCCCUCUUAUCCCCAUCACCGUCCUCAUUUUGAUUCUUCAUAUACAUUUAUCCUUUCCUGAUUUUAUACUGUUUACCUUUUUAUGGUUUGUUUUCCCCUCUAAAACAUAAGUUCCAUCUGGACAAGGGCUUUGCUCAGUCCUAUUUUCCUAGGCCCUAGAAUCAAACCAGUAUUGGGUGAAUGGAUACUGAAUGAAGCUUUACCUAAGUGCUUUGUCUUUUACUUAGUUUCAGUGGUUAAAUCUCAGAAAGCUUAACAGCAAUUCUAAGCAUGUCUUUAUCAUAAAAGGUUAAAAACUGUAUUAUUGGGAUAUUUUUUCUCUUUUUAUGUUUACCUACAAGCCCGUAGAAAGUAUAAAUACUCAAAAGAUAGCAGACCAGGUAGGCUUAAGUUACUUUUACAAAACAGUAGAAAUACCUUCAAAUAUUUAGCACUGAUGAACUUACUACUGAGGACAUGUGGACUCUACUAAGAAACUAAUGAUGAAAUUCAUAAUUGGGUGUGGUAGCACAUGCACCCAGCUACUCGAGAGGCUGCAGCUUGAGUCCAGGAGUUCAAGGCUGCAGGGAGCCAUAAUCAUGCCACUGCACUCCAGCCUGGGAGACAGUGAGAACUUGGCUCUUAAAAAAAAAAAGGAAAAAAAAUUGAUAACGACAAUUUGUAAUGGUCAGUCCUAUCCACCAGUCUAAAUGAAAGUUUAAAAAUUUUCAUAUACUGCACAGAAGUAGAUGGAGUCUUAAUGCUAGGUAAGGGUAAACAAGCUGAAAUAGCAGUCAGUGACUUCAGAGACCAUGA